GUAUGUAUUGCAUUAGGGGGGCACGAUUCAGAAAAUAUCGCGAUUCAAUAUCGAUUUUUAGGCUCAAGAUUCAAUUCAAAAAUCGAUUUUUGAUACAAAAACGAUUCUCAAUUUAAAAA
Long non-coding RNA from Etheostoma cragini (Arkansas darter), 119 nucleotides. RefSeq lists it as uncharacterized. The transcript is spliced from 2 exons. The record is from RefSeq and is a predicted model, not a curated record. Lineage: Eukaryota; Metazoa; Chordata; Actinopteri; Perciformes; Percidae.